Molecule: long non-coding RNA, 417 nt
Filed under: Ananas comosus (pineapple)
Lineage: Eukaryota; Viridiplantae; Streptophyta; Magnoliopsida; Poales; Bromeliaceae
Description: long non-coding RNA (ACOM_LNC034447)
Source: RNAcentral
UCGUUGGAUUAGCUUUUCGAGGUGGGUUGAAGUUUACCGAAAUCGUCAGUUUUCCUCCUAAGCCGAAGUUGACAGUAUGUAUUUUUGGUUUCGCAUAUCAUGAUUAAUAGCUCGAAUUCAUUGAAUUGCAUGUUCUUUGAAAUAUGAAUUUGGAGCAUAAUUAGUGUUAGUUGAAUUUUACAUGUUGGACUUGGAAUUGACUUAGGAGAAAACUAUCAAAUUCUAUACUGUCAUUUUCUGAAAACUAACAGAUUUAGCUUUAGGAGCUGUAGUUAGUUUGUAUCGCUGUAGUUUGUAUGCGGUGGAUAUACAGAAUAGUGUAUAAUGAAUUUACGCUCGUGCUCGGAUGCCGAGUUUAUUUUUACAGUAGUGUAUAGACUAUUUCGGACUGUCGGGUGCCGUUGUGGUUAACGGUGG